GAUGAACGCUAGCGGCAGGCCUAAUACAUGCAAGUCGAACGGGAUCCAGAUCAAAGCUUGCUUUGGUUUGGUGAGAGUGGCGCACGGGUGCGUAACGCGUGAGCAACCUACCCUUGUCAGGGGGAUAGCCCGGCGAAAGUCGGAUUAAUACCGCAUGACAUCAUUGAGAGGCAUCUUUCGAUGAUCAAAGAUUUAUCGGACAAGGAUGGGCUCGCGUGACAUUAGCUAGUUGGUAAGGUAACGGCUUACCAAGGCUACGAUGUCUAGGGGCUCUGAGAGGAGAAUCCCCCACACUGGUACUGAGACACGGACCAGGCUCCUACGGGAGGCAGCAGUAAGGAAUAUUGGUCAAUGGACGGAAGUCUGAACCAGCCAUGCCGCGUGCAGGAAGACGGCCCUAUGGGUUGUAAACUGCUUUUAUACGGGAACAAACGUCGGUACGUGUACCGGUCUGAGUGUACCGUAAGAAUAAGGAUCGGCUAACUCCGUG
This 490-nucleotide ribosomal RNA is filed under the name uncultured bacterium. RNAcentral describes it as "partial 16S ribosomal RNA". It matches the Rfam family "Bacterial small subunit ribosomal RNA", at positions 28 to 507 of the family's 1533-position model. The record is from RNAcentral.